Spodoptera frugiperda (fall armyworm) is the source of this 1548-nucleotide long non-coding RNA. RefSeq lists it as uncharacterized. The transcript is spliced from 3 exons. The record is from RefSeq and is a predicted model, not a curated record. Lineage: Eukaryota; Metazoa; Arthropoda; Insecta; Lepidoptera; Noctuidae.
UUCAAAAUAAAAAUACCUACCAACUAAUAAAUAUUAGCAAGUCAGCCCGUGAGUUUAGCUGGCUAUUACAAACUAAAAUCCUCAUAUUAGAAAUCACCGAUCGAUAUUAUAUUGUUUUCUCAGAUUAGAAAUACAAAUAACUUUGGACGGACAAACAUUAGUAUUAUUUGUCACAUUAUAUUGCGUCUGCUACAUGAAUCCCGCGCGUUCCGAUACACUCAAAAUCAGUUGAACGGACGGUAAAACAAGUAUCUUUAAAUUUCUAAUGUUAUAGUAAAUAGAGUAUAAUUAUGUAAUACGAUUUUAUGAUUUUAUUAUGGUUGUUCUGCAGCGAUUUUUCAAUUGAUGUUAUAUCAUAAUUUGGGUAAGUAAAAUUUUAUUGCUAUAAUUUUUCUGAAUUUCGGAACGUAUUUAAUAAAUUUUGUUUUAUCUAUGGUAUGGAUAUUUACUUUGCAAUAAUUUUCAUGACAUGAGACUACAUUUUGCUGCAAUUACAAGCGAUUUGAUCUGGUUUUGUUAUAAUUUCGUUUCAAUUUUAUGCGAAUAGGUACUGAGUUUAUAAAAGUAACAUAAUAUUGUCUUGUAUAUAAUUAGUUUUUGUGUAUUUCGGAUUCCGUUUACAUCUAGGUACCUACUAUGUCGGGGUCCUACGAGAAAGCUGGCGUAUCAACGCCACGAAUAUUUAGGCGCCCGUAAAUCGUCAAAACGAGUGAAAAGCGCAUUCAGUUGGAUACAUGUGGACGACAAGAUAGUAAACCUGUAAAUUAUAACUCAAGUUGUGGCCAGCUUCAUUGUAAACAAACUUUAGUUUUCAAGUUCAAGGACAUAUGCGUGUCAGUAACAUGGAUAAAUGCUACUUCAUAUGUUUUAUUUCAGUCAAUGAACCUUUGACUGUUAUAGAAGUUUGUCGAGAUAAUAUAAUGACUUUAUCAGCAAUAUGAUGCCAAAGUUAAUACACUUUUUUAAGAAUGUAUUCUGCCAGAAAUAGUUUUGAGACAUGUUCAAAAAAUGCGAAAUGUAUACCUAGGUAUGAAAGCAGCUGUGUAGCGGUAGUUUCCAGGCAAUAAUGAAGAAGGAUGAGUGAAAACAACACGACAAAUGUUUUUUAUUGUACUAUUAUAGUAGUGCGUUUAGAAUCUACAUUAUCAAUGUUUACAGUAAUGUUUUUUUUGAUGUCAGAAAACUGAAAUGGUGUACUCGUCGUAAUGAACAUAAUGUUCAUAAUGUGAUAUGAAUACAUUGACCUAUUUUAAGGUUUCUGAAAAACAAAAAGGAAAGUUGUUGCUUUUUUAUUUCCUUAUGUAGUAUAGUGAUUAUGGAUGCUUAGAUAUUCUCAAACAUUUUUCCGCUUUGAUUGCAAUCUAUUAUUCUGGUUGCCUUGUUUAUGAAUUAUAGUUUUGAAUUAUUAUUUUGAAUGAGAUUAUUUUUUAAUAAUCAGUCACGUAUCAAGCAUUCAUGUCACAUAAAUACUUGUAAUAAUUGCAGGUUAGUAUAUACAUUCUAUUAAAUAAUGUAUAAGAUAAUAAAAUAAAACUGUCUUACAUUGCA